RNAcentral lists this ribosomal RNA (500 nucleotides) under uncultured bacterium. RNAcentral's name for it is "partial 16S ribosomal RNA". It matches the Rfam family "Bacterial small subunit ribosomal RNA", at positions 30 to 523 of the family's 1533-position model. The record is from RNAcentral.
AUUGAACGCUGGCGGCAGGCCUAACACAUGCAAGUCGAGCGGAUGACGGGAGCUUGCUCCUUGAUUCAGCGGCGGACGGGUGAGUAAUGCCUAGGAAUCUGCCUGGUAGUGGGGGACAACGUUUCGAAAGGAACGCUAAUACCGCAUACGUCCUACGGGAGAAAGCAGGGGACCUUCGGGCCUUGCGCUAUCAGAUGAGCCUAGGUCGGGUUAGCUAGUAGGUGAGGUAAUGGCUCACCUAGGCGACGAUCCGUAACUGGUCUGAGAGGAUGGUCAGUAACACUGGAACUGAGAGACGGGCCAGACUCCUACGGGAGGCAGAAGUGGGGAAUAUUGGACAAUGGGCGAAGGCCUGAUCCAGCCAUGCCGCGUGUGUGAAGAAGGUCUUCGGAUUGUAAAGCACUUUAAGUUGGGAGGAAGGGCAGUAAGUUAAUACCUUGCUGUUUUGACGUUACCGACAGAAUAAGCACCGGCUAACUCUGUGCCAGCCGCCGCGGUAA